RNAcentral lists this ribosomal RNA (778 nucleotides) under uncultured bacterium. RNAcentral's name for it is "bacterial SSU rRNA". It matches the Rfam family "Bacterial small subunit ribosomal RNA", at positions 56 to 825 of the family's 1533-position model. The record is from RNAcentral.
UGCACGUCGAACGGUAACGAUACCAGCUUGCUGGUAGUCGACGAGUGGCGAACGGGUGAGUAACGCGUAGGAAUCUGCCCAGUAGCGGGGGAUAACUCCGGGAAACCGGAGCUAAUACCGCAUACGCCCCAAGGGGGAAAGAUGGGGAUCAUCGGACCUGUCACUAUUGGAUGAGCCUGCGUCGGAUUAGCUUGUUGGUGGGGUAAUGGCCUACCAAGGCGACGAUCCGUAACUGGUCUGAGAGGAUGAUCAGUCACACUGGGACUGAGACACGGCCCACACUCCUACGGGAGGCAGCAGUGGGGAAUAUUGGACAAUGGGCGCAAGCCUGAUCCAGCAAUGCCGCGUGUGUGAAGAAGGCUUUCGGGUUGUAAAGCACUUUCAAUUGGGAAGAAACCCCCGGAGUUAACAGCUUCGGGUCUUGACGGUACCAAUACAAGAAGCACCGGCUAACUCCGUGCCAGCAGCCGCGGUAAUACGGAGGGUGCAAGCGUUAAUCGGAAUUACUGGGCGUAAAGCGCACGCAGGCGGUUUGUUAAGUCAGAUGUGAAAUCCCCGGGCUCAACCUGGGAACUGCAUUUGAUACUGGCAGACUAGAGUAUGGGAGAGAGAAGUGGAAUUCCACAUGUAGCGGUGAAAUGCGUAGAGAUGUGGAGGAACACCAGUGGCGAAGGCGGCUUCUUGGCCCAAUACUGACGCUCAGGUGCGAAAGCGUGGGGAGCAAACAGGAUUAUAUACCCUGGUAGUCCACGCCGUAAACGAUGUCUACUAGCCGUUG